AUGACACCACAACUUCACAUACGUCGCCAUCUCUUUACUUUCCUAUAGUUAUCUUCUAGACUGUGUCUUCUCCUUAUCUCCAGUUUUCAUUCUGUAUUUUUUUUCUUUUUAGUAAGAGGAAAUAACUCUACAUUCAAAUUUGAGCAGGGCACUUGGUGACCUACUUAGACAUGACAUUCCUUGGCCUCCCUUUCAGCAAGAUGAGAAAACUGAGGCACAGAGAGGUGAAAUAAGGCCCCCAGAAUGCUCUUCUCCAAGACUUAGAAAAAUCAAAUGCUAUCCAUCCCUCAAGAUACAUCCCUCC
This 304-nucleotide long non-coding RNA is filed under the name Homo sapiens (human). Its description in RNAcentral is "non-protein coding lnc-COL28A1-1:22". The record is from RNAcentral. Lineage: Eukaryota; Metazoa; Chordata; Mammalia; Primates; Hominidae.